GGUGUCGCAGACACUAAAUCAGCAGGCAGUCAUGUUUUUCUGUGUUCUGAUCAACGCUGAAUAAACUUGUAAAUAAUGCUCUCCUGACUGCAACUUUUGGCUGUGCAUUUAUCUGCUGAUAGAGCGUGCAUGAGUCUGGAAUGUGGCAAGAUAUUUUCUAGAAACUCAUGUCGCUGCGUGCCUACGGGAGACUGAGAUGGAUCGUCCGGCAGACGGCUUGGGGGCCUUGAUGGACUUUAUCUCCCUGGCAGUAUCCCAACAACAGGUUUCGGGCCCAGAUUCACAGCACUUACAGGAGAGUAAGACUGCGACAGACUGCUGAAAGGUAUGUGGAGGAAAAGCGAAAGUAAGGCUUUUCUGUUUGCCGUGGCAAGGGCCUUUGAACUCCGGCAGAUUAAUGGAAAUGGGAGCCGCGCCAAAGGCCUCAAGAUUUAUGAGCUGCCGAGAUAAGACGUCUCUGAAGUGAAUAAGAUUCACGGCUCAAGUAGAAACCUGGAAUGGAGUUUUUCCAGGCUUCUGAGGCUGCUGAGUGCCCAAAGUUAAAUCGGCACAACUAUCAGACCUGGGCAAAAUGGUGUGAGAGCUUGCUGCGUCAGUUUGGAGUGUGGCAUACUGUGUCUGAAGCCCUCCAGUUCCUCUGACAGAUAGAUGGAGGGCCGCAAAUUCGAAGGCCGAUAGACGUAAUCGUCUUGUCCGUCUCUCUUGAGUAAAUAAAGACGCUAGCUGGCAAUCUGACUGCACGUAAGAUGUGGCAUGCUUUGAAGAUAGCCCAUCUGCCAGUCAUCCCAGCCCAGAGUUUGACUGCAUCGGAGGUCCUGGCUGUUUCCCAGAAUGCGAGUGAAUGCAGGGAUGCCGAGGGCACCGGUUGCAAGCUGCAGGGGGAGCUGACUGUCACGUCAUCCCAGGCAGCAUUCCAGCCUCCAGGGGGAGCCAAGGAGUCGGCAGCUGAGAGCUCUGUUUCUCGUGGGAGCCAAGGUCAUCGCCUUUGCAGAGGCCGGAAGGGCAAAGGUAAACAGAGGCAGACGCCUGCAGAUGGCCAGAAGCAGAGGGAGGGUGAAGAGCCCACGCCAGAGGAAAACAAGGUUUUGUUUGCUGGCACAGCCUCACCAAAGGCUAAAGGCAAGUCUGAUGGCCAGGAGCAGGGGGGCAAGCUGCAAAAGCCCACGCCGGUGGAAAACAAGGUUUUGCUUGCUGCAAAGGCUGCUCCAAAAGCCAAGGCCAGGUUUGUUGUUGAUUCAGGCUGUACCCGCCAUGUCUCAAAGGACCGCCACCUAUUUAUCUCCUUCAAACCUCAAGAAGGUGAGAUCCACCUGGCUGAUGGAAAGACGUUGCGAAUUGCAGGAGAAGGGACUGUGAAACUGGCAAGUCUGCACACUACCAUCAAAGAUGUACUGUAUGUUCCAGGUGCUGCAGACAAUUUGCUCAGUGUCCCACAGCUGACUGGGCGUGGUUUUGAGAUUUCCUUCAAGAGGAGCGUCUGUGUCAUCAGAAAAGGCAAAGAGGACAUUUUGCAUGCAAAGUUUAUGGAUGGCUUGUUCUGUAUAACUUAUGAUGACAUUGGUGCUGUUGUGUCUAAUGCUGAUUCUUGUUGUGUUGCACAAACUAACAAAGUUCUUCAUGCAGGAUGCAUUCAUGAUGCACACAGAAGAUUUUGUCACAUGUCUUGGCAGGCGCUGGCCAAGAUGCCAGAGAUGGUUGAGGGUUUGAACAUCAAACCCUGUAAGUUUCACAUGAAAUGUGUAUCUUGUGCAGAGAACAAGGUGAAGGUUGCUCCAAAAGGCAAGGAGUCUAGCAGGCAGGCUUCCAAACCCUACCAGCUAGUGCACGCAGACCUGGUUGGUCCACUUGCGCCCUCUUUGGGUGGAGCAAGGUACUUCAUGGUUCUAAUUGAUUCUUUUUCCAGGUACAUUCAUGUGUUUAUGCUCGAGCAGAAAUCGCAAGCGUUUCCUAAGUUCAAGGCAUUCUGUGCUUGGUUGGAGAAUGUUCACGGUAAACGUAUUGGCUGUCUGUUUACUGAUCGAGGCGGGGAGUUCACUUCUCAGCAGUUUGAAGCUUUCCUGACUGAGAAGGGAAUCCAGCAUGACUUGUCAACGCCUAGAUCGCCAUGGAUGAAUGGGCUUGCGGAGCGAGCAAAUCAAACGUUGCUGCAAGGAAUGAAAACAUUGUUGCAUGAUGCCAAUCUCCCUGAUAAGUAUUGGGGGGAGGCUCUGUCGAAUUUUGCUUACACUUAUAAUCGCAGAUUGUCAUCACCUAUUGGUUGUACCCCUCAGAGAAGAUGUUUGGUAAGAAACCCAACAUCAAGCACAUGAGAAUCUUUGGUUCUGACAUGUGGGUACACACCCCACAGAGCAACAAGCUUGGGAAGCGUGGGGCACAUGGUUUGUUCAUGGGGUACGAAAAGGUGCAUACAGGGUAUGGAUGACCAACUCUAAGUCCAUUAAGUUCACAAAGAGUGUUGAGUACAAUCCUAAGUGGGGGGAAAAUGUGGGAAUUUUCCAGAGUUACCCAGAGGAGGAUGAAGGUGAUGUCAAAGAAGCAGCUAAAGCUGAGGAAGCUGCUGAGGAUGAUGAUGACGAUGAUGAUCAGAGUUCGGAUUCCAGUUCAGUGGGCGGCGCUGCUGCUGAUGUCAGUGACAGUGAUGACACAGCAGACUACAAGAGCGCAAAGGCCUCAGUCAGACCAUCUGAUGCGUCUGACAAUGAACUGGAAGAACCACUGUUCACCAUUGGUCACUUUUCUCCUAAGAAGGAGGAGAUGAGUCCAGAAGACUUGCGUCUAGUACGCAGAUCUGAAAGAGCCACAAAGGGCAGACCUCCAAAGAGAUUUGCUGAUGAGUUUGCUAAGACAGCAACUGCUGUUCUUAGUAGCUCAGAGAAGGUGUGGGAACCUUCAAGCUUCAAAGAGGUUCAGGAGUUAACCUCUAAAGAUGCUGAGCCUUGGCUUAAUGCCAUGAAGGCUGAAGUUGAUUCCUUGAAUAGGAACCAAACUUGGGAACUGGUACCGGUAGUCCCAGGAAUGAGACUGGUUGGCAGCAAAUGGGUCUUCAAGGCCAAGACAGACCAGAAUGGCAAGGUUGUCAGACACAAAGCCAGAUUGGUUGCCAGAGGUUUUUCACAGGUACCAGGACAGGAUUACCACGAGACCUACUCACCCACCGUCAAAUAUGAGAGCAUUCGGCUGAUGCUCAAGAUAGCUGCAGAGGAGAAACUGCAUGUUUCCCAUCAUGACAUUAAUACAGCUUUUUUGUACGGGAUUUUGGAGGAGGAGCUGUUUAUGCUUCCACCUGAUGGGAUGCAGAUACAGAAGGGAAUGGUCUGUAAACUGCGGAAAUCCUUAUAUGGUCUCAAGCAGAGUGCCAGGUGUUGGAACACAAAACUCACUGAGACAUUGCUUUCUCUAGGUUUUCACCAGGGCAAAGCUGAUCCAUGUGUGUUUGUCAAGGAGGAGGGGCAAAACAAACUGUAUUGUUUAUGUUUUGUUGAUGAUCUUCUGAUGUUUUGGAAGAAUCAGGCUUUCUACCAAAGCACCCUAGCUCAGCUGAAGGAGCACUUUGACAUGAAGGAUCUUGGUGAGGUAUCCAACUAUCUUUCUCUGCAGGUGGAGAGGGACCAAGCAGGUAAUUUUCUGGUACACCAAACACAGAAAAUUGCUGAUGUAUUAACCAGGUUGAAUUUGGUUGAUGCAAACCCAGCAGACACACCGAUGGUGACAGGUUACCAGGUAGACAGUACUGCUGAAGCGUUUUCUGACACAACGCUGUACAGAUGCAUUCUAGGCAAGUUGAAUUUCAUUGCUAGAUGCUCAAGACCUGACAUAGCUGUAAGCUGCUAACCUGCUUAGCAGACAUGCCAACAAUCCUACUGUUCAGGAUUGGAAAGCUCUGAAGCGCAUAGCCCGCUAUUUGAAAGGGACUUUGCACUACAGGCUGAGGUUCACCAGUCAGAAGACUGGAGGUCUUGAAAUCUUUGCAGAUGCAAGUUUUGGAAGUGACACCACGGAUGGUACAAGCACUUCUGGAGUAUGCUACAUGUACAACCACUGCCUGUUUGACUGGUUGUGCAAGAAGCAGACGACAGUGAGCCUAAGUUCCUGUGAAGCAGAACUCAAUGCUCUGUCAUUUUCACUCAUGGAUUGUGAAUGGUUGAUGCAACUGUUUAAGGACAUCGGAGUUUCUGUGAAAUGUCCUGUACAAGUGUAUCAAGACAAUAGAUCGUGUUUGGCUUUGCUGAACUCGGAGAGUUGCAAGCAAAGGACCAAGUACUUGCAGAUUAAGCUACAUCGUGCAAGAGAGUGUAUUCAGAAAGGACUCAUUCAGGUGUCCUACAUGCCAGGAAAUGAAAUUCCUGCUGAUCUGUUGUCUAAGGUUGUUAACAGAGAACAACUUAAGGUUUAUGUACAAAGGUUGCAAUUGGGUUGAACCACAGGUACUACAGGUUACACGGAAAGGGGGAGGAUGUUAGGAUAUUUCCGUUCCACCUUAAAAGGGAGCAGGCUUUGUGAGUCAGAGUCUGCGUAUUUCCUGUUCACAGGAUGUUUAUGUUUUCUGUUGCUUUCGUUUUCUCUCUGGUGUCGCAGACACUAAAUCAGCAGGCAGUCAUGUUUUUCUGUGUUCUGAUCAACGCUGAAUAAACUUGUAAAUAAUGCUCUCCUG
RNAcentral lists this long non-coding RNA (4651 nucleotides) under Podarcis lilfordi (Lilford's wall lizard). The record is from RNAcentral. Lineage: Eukaryota; Metazoa; Chordata; Lepidosauria; Squamata; Lacertidae.